GAUGAACGCUGGCGGCGUGCCUAAUACAUGCAAGUCGAGCGAACGGACGAGGAGCUUGCUUCUCUGAUGUUAGCGGCGGACGGGUGAGUAACACGUGGAUAACCUACCUAUAAGACUGGGAUAACUUCGGGAAACCGGAGCUAAUACCGGAUAAUAUUUUGAACCGCAUGGUUCAAAAGUGAAAGACGGUCUUGCUGUCACUUAUAGAUGGAUCCGCGCUGCAUUAGCUAGUUGGUAAGGUAACGGCUUACCAAGGCAACGAUGCAUAGCCGACCUGAGAGGGUGAUCGGCCACACUGGAACUGAGACACGGUCCAGACUCCUACGGGAGGCAGCAGUAGGGAAUCUUCCGCAAUGGGCGAAAGCCUGACGGAGCAACGCCGCGUGAGUGAUGAAGGUCUUCGGAUCGUAAAACUCUGUUAUUAGGGAAGAACAUAUGUGUAAGUAACUAUGCACAUCUUGACGGUACCUAAUCAGAAAGCCACGGCUAACUACGUG
RNAcentral lists this ribosomal RNA (497 nucleotides) under uncultured bacterium. Its description in RNAcentral is "partial 16S ribosomal RNA". It matches the Rfam family "Bacterial small subunit ribosomal RNA", at positions 28 to 507 of the family's 1533-position model. The record is from RNAcentral.